AUAUAUUUCCAUUAAAGGUAAGAGUGAUACCUUGUAGCUAUGACCAGUCUUUCAAGCUGGCAUCCACCUCUAUGGUAUGAUACUAAGGAUGGUAGGAAAAAAAACUAAACUUGAUAAAUCUUCAUGUAUUUACUUUCUCUUUCAAAAAAAAAAAACCAAAAACUUGAGAAUUCCCAAUGAAUAUGUAAAUAUAUCCCCUAGCUGGAGUGAGUGCUGUGAUGGUGGCGCGGGAACUGGUGAGUUUUGGGGACACAGGUAUGCAGGUACAACAUCUCCUAGGGCCUCAGCCAACAGGAAGAAAAAAGACAUCUUAAAGAUCACUCUAGGAUAACACCAAAAGUAAACACAUUCAUCCAUUUACAGUUUUGCUGUGGAGUCAUGAGAUGCUACUCAGAAUCCUUGCUCAUGCUGCAAACUGACCAACCUUGUAAGUAGAAAGUUGAAGAGCAAGCUCCACAGGUCAGCUUCUCUGCUUUCCUUUCAGGGAGUAAAUUUCUACUCUUUAAGGAUCCUAAUGUGAAAUGCACACUUUUGGUGUGCAUGGGAAAGGGAAAAAGGCUGAAUAAAAUGUGGAACUGCCAUCCCCUGCUCUACCAGACAACCACUCCAGAAAUCUACAUGUAAAAAUGUAAAUGCUUGCAAGAAGCCUCUUCUUUUUAAAAAAUCCAUUACUUUCUGACUGUCAGCAUAUUUGAAAAAUAAAGAUCCUUUCCAAUUUCUUUGAAGCUAACAGAAUCUGUUUCUUAGUGAUUGUGUCAGAGGUUUCAAAACUGUUGCUCUCAGUUUUUUCCUUAACAUUUAAGAAUAUGUUUCAUUUUUGAGUCUGUCAAAGACUUUUAACAAAUUGGAAUAUUGUUGCUCAUUCAGUUAGAUUUUUUUUUUUUCCUGGAUGAACACGAUACAACAAAUCUGUUUUGGUGUCUUUAAAAUCAGAGUUUUGGCUUAUUAAAAUAGUUAAAUAUUGGUUGCUCUUUUUAAGGUUUUGGGGUUUCUUUUGAAACUGAAUUAUUUUUGUGUUUGCCCUCUGCGUCAGGGUAUUGGUUUUAUAACUAAGUGGACCAACAAUUUUCUCCAUAAUCAGAUGCUCAGUUAAUAAGAAAUGGCAAGCAUAUUAUACUCCUGGCUCUUUCAGAAUUAUCACAGUAUAGUCAAUGAAUUGUUACUAUAAGGACACUGUCGAAAUAUAAUGAUUUUAAGGACUCUUUGGGGAACAGCAAAAAAAAAAGAUAUUUUGAAUAUUAUCAGAUAUAAAUGACUAGGACACAUUCAUUCUUGUGGUUUAGAUUUUAUUUAUGUUUUAUCUAGUGUAAAGUCUGAAAAAAAUGUUUUCUAUGAAAAAGCCUCUUGAUGAAAGUCAAAGAGGAGAGCGAAAAAGUUGGCCUAA
This 1384-nucleotide long non-coding RNA is filed under the name Capra hircus (goat). RNAcentral describes it as "lncRNA (ENSCHIG00010009156.1)". The record is from RNAcentral. Lineage: Eukaryota; Metazoa; Chordata; Mammalia; Artiodactyla; Bovidae.